AAGGAAAGAGGAUAACACUUGAAAUGUAAAUAAAGAAAAUACCUAAUAAAAAUAAAUAAAAACAUGCUUUCAAAGGAAAUAAAAAGUUGGAUUCAAAAAUUUAACUUUUGCUCAUUUGGUAUAAUCAAGGAAAAGACCUUUGCAUAUAAAAUAUAUUUUGAAUAAAAUUCAGUGGAAGAAUGGAAUAGAAAUAUAAGUUUAAUGCUAAGUAUAAGUACCAGUAAAAGAAUAAUAAAAAGAAAUAUAAGUUGGGUAUACAGUUAUUUGCCAGCACAAAGCCUUGGGUAUGGUUCUUAGCACUAAGGAACCAGCCAAAUCACCAACAAACAGAGGCAUAAGGUUUUAGUGUUUACUAUUUGUACUUUUGUGGAUCAUCUUGCCAGCCUGUAGUGCAACCAUCUCUAAUCCACCACCAUGAAGGGAACUGUGAUAAUUCACUGGGCUUUUUCUGUGCAAGAUGAAAAAAAGCCAGGUGAGGCUGAUUUAUGAGUAAGGGAUGUGCAUUCCUAACUCAAAAAUCUGAAAUUUGAAAUGCCGCCCAAAAUAUGAAAUUUCACUGGCUGAGACGGUGUAAUAGUCAGAAAUUUCCAUCUGUGAUUGCUUGUAAAGUCAAAUGUUAGAGACUAUGUAUGUAGCAUGUGCAUGAUAUAUACAUGAAGUUGUAUUCAGACUUGGGCCUUAUCUCUAAGAUGUGUCAUUAUAGGUAUUCAAAAAUUCUAAAACUGGCAAAAUUCUGAAAUCUGAAGCACUUUUGCAUAAAGGACUCAAUCUCUGUGCUACUGCUGAAUUGCUGCUCCGGGCUGGGGGCCUCAUGUUCACUGACUUUGAAGUUAUUUAAUUAUCUCUUUUUCAAUUCAGUUAUUUUUUUUCACCAAAAAGGUAACAAAUAGUUAUUGAUGAAAUGAAUCUUGUCUCUUUUCUCCAGAUGCUUCAAUAAAUACCCCUAAAUAUUAAUGAAGAUUCCUGAACCAUUCUAGGUGGGAGAAAGAAGAAGGAGCAGAGUCCCUAUGUCCUUGUUCUAGGGUGACUGGAUUGUAAUUUGUGAAUGCAGGUAUAAAGUUAGAGAAAUG
RNAcentral lists this long non-coding RNA (1070 nucleotides) under Mus musculus (house mouse). Its description in RNAcentral is "long non-coding RNA chr1:3073252-3074322". The record is from RNAcentral. Lineage: Eukaryota; Metazoa; Chordata; Mammalia; Rodentia; Muridae.